CAGUUUUUUAGCUCCCAAACCUCUUUCCAUUCGAAUUUUUUAGAUCAGAAAUAGCUUUAAAAUUCAAAAAACCAAAAAAAAAACAAACAGAAAAUACAAUAGAAAAUCCUAAAACAAACACUGUUUCAUUGCCUUUCUUUAGGAUAUUUUCUAAUUCCAGCUUUAAUUCUACUUUCUAGCUCAUUUCGAAACCAAAAAUGGUCUGAGUUCUUUUGUUUCUAUUCACUAUUUGCAAUCUGAAAGUGUUUGGAGUCGCUGGCAUUGGUUUAUUCGAGUUAGCUAGGGUUUUAUUCACUGAGUGUGCUGGUCUCUUGGAUUAUUGAUGGUUAUUUGGUGCUAUUUUGUUGAUUUGUUGAUCCUGUACACAGUUGUACACCCUUGGUUGACAAAAUGAAAUGAAGUUUAGAUCAAGGCUCUUCUGCUGCAUUCUCUGUUUAGUAGGUAGACUGUAGUUAUGGUCAGUUAUGCCUAGCUGUUUAGUUUAAUUUGACUGAGCUUGAUUUGAACUAUUUCUAAUUGAUAUGAACUGCCUAGAAAUUGGAUUGUAAUAAUGUAAUUGUAUUAACUUAGGAUUGCUUAAGCUUGUGGAACUAUGAAACUUUUUGAUUUGCGACUGUUUCAUGUAUUGCACAGUCAUUUAGUAGUAGGUUCCCUUGAUUGAAAUAUAUUGAAAUGACAAGGAAUGACUGAGAAAGCAGAAGUUAGUAUGCAGUAGUUAAUCAUUUGGCAGUUAAA
Non-coding RNA from Nicotiana tabacum (common tobacco), 735 nucleotides. The record is from RefSeq and is a predicted model, not a curated record. NCBI's taxonomy places the organism in Eukaryota, Viridiplantae, Streptophyta, Magnoliopsida, Solanales, Solanaceae.